CCUACGGGUGGCAGCAGUGGGGAAUAUUGCACAAUGGGGGAAACCCUGAUGCAGCGACGCCGCGUGGGUGAUGAAGUUCUUCGGCAUGUAAAGCUCUAUCAGCAGGGAAGAAAAUGACCUUUGCUGACCAAGAAUCACCUGCUAAUUACGUGCCAGCAGCCGCGGUAAUACGUAGGGGGCAAGCGUUAUCCGGAUUUACUGGGUGGAAAGGGAGCGUAGGCGGCAUGGCAAGCCUGGGGUGAAAUCCCCGGGCUCAACCAGGGGACUGCCUUUGAAACUGUCAGGCUGGAGUGCCGGAGAGGAAGGCGGAAUUCCUGGUGUAGCGGUGAAAUGCGUAGAUAUUAGGAGGAACACCAGUGGCGAAGGCGGCUUGCUGGCACGUAACUGACGCUGAGGCGCGAAAGCGUGGGGAGCAAACAGGAUUAGAUACCCGUGUAGUC
RNAcentral lists this ribosomal RNA (440 nucleotides) under uncultured bacterium. Its description in RNAcentral is "partial 16S ribosomal RNA". It matches the Rfam family "Bacterial small subunit ribosomal RNA", at positions 338 to 795 of the family's 1533-position model. The record is from RNAcentral.